RNAcentral lists this ribosomal RNA (259 nucleotides) under uncultured bacterium. RNAcentral describes it as "partial 16S ribosomal RNA". It matches the Rfam family "Bacterial small subunit ribosomal RNA", at positions 524 to 778 of the family's 1533-position model. The record is from RNAcentral.
UACGUAGGGUGCGAGCGUUGUCCGGAAUUACUGGGCGUAAAGCGCGUGUAGGCGGCUUUUGCAAGUCGGGUGUGAAAGCCCUCAGCUUAACUGAGGAAGUGCGCCCGAAACUGCUUGGCUUGAGUACCGGAGAGGAGUGGCGGAAUUCCCCAAGUAGAGGUGAAAAUUCGUAGAUAUGGGGAGGAACACCGGUGGCGAAGGCGGCCAUCUGGACGGAUACGUGACGCUGAGACGCGAAAGCGUGGGUAGCAAACGAGGA